RNAcentral lists this ribosomal RNA (468 nucleotides) under uncultured bacterium. RNAcentral's name for it is "partial 16S ribosomal RNA". The stretch from base 54 to 468 matches the Rfam family "Bacterial small subunit ribosomal RNA", at positions 39 to 507 of the family's 1533-position model. The record is from RNAcentral.
GGGGGGGGGGGGGGGGGGGGGGGGGGCGUGGGGGUGGGGCGGGGGGGCGGGGGGUGGGGGGGGGGCGCGGGGGGCGGAGGGGUGCGGAGCGCGUGGGUGAGGUGGCGUUGGGGUUGGGAUACCUUGUGGAGCCGGGGGCUCCGCCCGGCUCGGAGCGCCUGCUGCAUGGUGGGGGUUGUAGAGUUUCGGCGGUUGGGGCGGGACUCGCGGCGUAUCAGCUUUCUGGUGGUGUAUUAGCUUACCACGGCUUUGACGGGUAGCCGGCCUGAGAGGGUGACCGGCCACAUUGGGACUGAGAUACGGCCCAGACUCCUACGGGAGGCAGCAGUGGGGAAUAUUGCACAAUGGGCGGAAGCCUGAUGCAGCAACGCCGCGUGCGGGAUGACGGCCUUCGGGUUGUAAACCGCUUUCGCCUGUGACGAAGCGUGAGUGACGGUAAUGGGUAAAGAAGCACCGGCUAACUACGUG